UACGGGGGGAGCUAGCGUUGUUCGGAAUUACUGGGCGUAAAGGGCGCGUAGGCGGCCCUGUCAGUCGGGUGUGAAAGCCCGGGGCUCAACCCCGGAACGGCACCCGAGACGGCAGGGCUGGAGACCGGGAGAGGAGGGUGGAAUAGCCAGUGUAGAGGUGAAAUUCGUAGAUAUUGGCUGGAACACCGGUGGCGAAAGCGGCUCUCUGGCCCGGUUCUGACGCUGAGGCGCGAAAGCGUGGGGAGCAAACAGG
This 253-nucleotide ribosomal RNA is filed under the name uncultured bacterium. RNAcentral describes it as "partial 16S ribosomal RNA". It matches the Rfam family "Bacterial small subunit ribosomal RNA", at positions 524 to 776 of the family's 1533-position model. The record is from RNAcentral.